UAUAAAAAGGAAAGAGUUUCCCUCAAUUAGCACAGUCAGUUCAAACAAUCAACUGAAGCAAACUAAUCCAAAAUGAUGAAAUUCUUGAUCUUCGCUUUCCUCAUCGCCUUCGCUGUGGCCGCUGCUUACGCCAACCCUGAGCCAGCUCCUCGUCCAGCUCCUCUUCCAGUGCCACAACCACAGGGCGGUUAUGGAUACGGUGGUUAUGGCGGUUAUGGAGGAUAUGGUGGAUAUGGUGGAUAUGGUGGAUACUACUAAAACUCAACACUUUCCUUGCUACACUUCUUGUGUAACAAAUGGAUAUGGAUAUGAACCUGGAAUAACCCAUCGGAACUGUGGUACAGAUUCCAACACCCUAAUCUAACCACAGCAAGACUUGGUAUUGCCAAGAUUUUGUAGAUUAAUGAAAUCCAUAUAUUAAAAAGAUUUUUAACGGCAAAA
Lutzomyia longipalpis is the source of this 441-nucleotide long non-coding RNA. RefSeq lists it as uncharacterized. Lineage: Eukaryota; Metazoa; Arthropoda; Insecta; Diptera; Psychodidae. The record is from RefSeq and is a predicted model, not a curated record. The transcript is spliced from 2 exons.